GAUGAUAUACAUUGUACUUAAGUUAAAAGAACUCAUUGGUACAUGUCAGCGCCGGGAUUCGAAACCCGCAUCUCUGGCGUGAGAAGCGGGCGCUUACCCGACUGAGCUACCACCGCUCGCUAAACUGUAUCGCUUCUACUAGAAGAAAUUCAACAUCAUCUUGAAUUUAUUACCACCAGGUAAGUAGCUAAGGUAUUGAAAUAAUAAAGUUAUCUGACUACAUAAUUAUCUUAUACUUUUAUUUAUACCUAUAAUUAUUGUUACAGAAAUAAUGCAGUUACUCCAAUGAACCAGUUGUUUUGCACACUCCGAUAUUAUGCAACUGGCAGUCAGUUAAUUACUUGUGGAGAUGUGAUAGGUGUGGAAGAACCAACAGCUUGCAGAAUCAUUCAUAGAGUUACUCAUGCAAUAGCAUUAUUGUAUAAAAUAUACAUUAAAUCUCCUGAUACCAUUCAGGAACAACGUUUUUUUGCUCUCUAUAAUGUGGAAGUAUGGUUCCAAUACAUUGCACAAUAAAUCUUGUUCUUCCCUUGUAAAAUUAGGGGCACGAACACGAGAAGAAGCUGAUUGACUAUUCAUUUUACUUUGAAAUCACAACAACAAAUAAAUACAAACACCACCACGCGGUGAAAGCCGAAAUAAGUUUUGUUUUGAAAUAAGUAGUGUUAUUUUCUCUAUGUUUGAAAUUGAUAGAUUGACUCCGUUUUACGCUGAGUCGUUUCGAAUGUUCAAUAAAAAAUAUGAAGUCUCUCAUUAAAAAGAUGUGGAACUGAACGUAAAUAACAAAUUGCAGGAUGCUAAACGCAUUUAACUAAAUAGUAAUCAAAAGACCAUGGUGAAUUAUGAAGCUAAACAUGUUUAGGAUAAAAUUGUUUAGUGCAUUAAACGAAAUUAGCUAAAUGAAUUUAUGUAGUAUUUAAAUAGAAGUUCGUAACAGCCACCCUUAGGGUGCUUUUAUAAAAGUGAUAAAUGUAUUUAACUUUUUAUUUAAACACAAUUUGAAAUUAAAUUUCGUAAAACAUCUUUUACCACGACUUAAAUAUGAUUAGUAAUCUGUUAAACCUAAAUGCGGUCAAAUGGCUAUUUAACUUUACUAAACACAUUUAUCUACUGUCAUGGCGUCAGUCGCGGCGACCAGCUGACCGACCGGCUGUCAAGAGAACUUUUCCAUUUCUAGCAUUUUUCCUCAGUGAUGUCUAGUUGUUGUCUGUGAGAGAUUCAGAGGUCAUUGUUCAGAGGUUAUGUUGAGGUUAUCUAAUAAAUAAUGUAUUUGUGGGAUAUUUUGUUUGAUGACGAUGAUGAAGAAUUACUUCUCUUUAUGAAUAGACCUCGCUCAUUACGCUAUAUUGCAGAAAGAACUAACUUAUUUGAGACACUACCGGAUAAAACAUUUGUUAGGAGAUUUCGUUUGACAAAACAAACUGUAUCGCUUCUACUACAAGAAAUUCAACAACAUCUUGAAUUUAUUUCCACCAGAAAUAAUGCAGUUACUCCAAUGAACCAGUUGUUAUGCACACUCCGAUAUUAUGCAACUGGAAGUCAGUUAAUUACUUGUGGAGAUGUGAUAGGUGUGGAAGAACCAACAGCAGCUUGCAGAAUCAUUCAUAGAGUUACUCAUGCAAUAGCAUUAUUGUAUAAAAUAUACAUUAAAUCUCCUGAUACCAUUCAGGAACAACGUUUUUUUGCUCUCUAUAAUGUGCAAGUAUGGUUCCAAUACAUUGCACAAUAAAUCUUGUUCUUCCCUUGUAAAAUUAGGGGCACGAACACGAGAAGAAGUUGCUUGACUAUUCAUUUUACUUUGAAAUCACAACAACAAAUAAAUACAAACACCACCACGCGGUGAAAGCCGAAAUAAGUUUUGUUUUGAAAUAAAUAGUGUUAUUUUGUCUAUGUUUGAAAUUGAUAGAUUGACUCCGUUUUACGCUGAGUCGUUUCGAAUGUUCAAUAAAAAAUAUGAAGUCUCUCAUUAAAAAGAUGUGGAACUGAACGUAAAUAACAAAUCGCAGGAUGCUAAACGCAUUUAACUAAAUAGUAAUCAAAAGACCAUGGUGAAUUAUGAAGCUAAACAUGUUUAGGAUAAAAUUGUUUAGUGCAUUAAACGAAAUUAGCUAAAUGAAUUUAUGUAGUAUUUAAAUAGAAGUUCGUAACAGCCACCCU
This is a non-coding RNA of Plutella xylostella (diamondback moth), 2157 nucleotides long. The record is from RefSeq and is a predicted model, not a curated record. Lineage: Eukaryota; Metazoa; Arthropoda; Insecta; Lepidoptera; Plutellidae.